GACGAACGCUGGCGGCGUGCCUAAUACAUGCAAGUUGAGCGCUGAAGGUUGGUACUUGUACCAACUGGAUGAGCAGCGAACGGGUGAGUAACGCGUGGGGAAUCUGCCUUUGAGCGGGGGGCAACAUGUGGAAACGAAUGCUAAUACCGCAUAAAAACUUUAAACACAAGAUUUAAGUUUGAAAGAUGCAAUUGCAUCACUCAAAGAUGAUCCCGCGUUGUAUUAGCUAGUUGGUGAGGUAAAGGCUCACCAAGGCGAUGAUACAUAGCCGACCUGAGAGGGUGAUCGGCCACAUUGGGACUGAGACACCGCCCAAACUCCUACGGGAGGCAGCAGUAGGGAAUCUUCGGCAAUGGACGAAAGUCUGACCGAGCAACGCCGCGUGAGUGAAGAAGGUUUUCGGAUCGUAAAACUCUGUUGGUAGAGAAGAACGUUGGUGAGGGUGGAAAGCUCAUCAAGUGACGGUAACUACCCAGAAAGGGACGGCUAACUACGUG
RNAcentral lists this ribosomal RNA (497 nucleotides) under uncultured bacterium. RNAcentral describes it as "partial 16S ribosomal RNA". It matches the Rfam family "Bacterial small subunit ribosomal RNA", at positions 28 to 507 of the family's 1533-position model. The record is from RNAcentral.